Molecule: small nuclear RNA, 107 nt
Organism: Ochotona princeps (American pika)
Lineage: Eukaryota; Metazoa; Chordata; Mammalia; Lagomorpha; Ochotonidae
Source: RefSeq, a predicted model, not a curated record
GUGCUUGCUUCAGCAGCACAUAUACUAAAGUUGGAACGAUACAGAGGAAAUUAUCAUGAGCUCUGUGCAAGGAUGACACACAAAUUUGUGAAGUGUUCUAUAUUUUU